Molecule: ribosomal RNA, 253 nt
Filed under: uncultured bacterium
Lineage: Bacteria
Description: partial 16S ribosomal RNA
Rfam family: Bacterial small subunit ribosomal RNA
Source: RNAcentral
UACGUAGGGUGCGAGCGUUGUCCGGAAUUACUGGGCGUAAAGAGCUCGUAGGUGGUUUGUCGCGUUGUCCGUGAAAACUCACAGCUCAACUGUGGGCGUGCGGGCGAUACGGGCAGACUGGAGUACUGCAGGGGAGACUGGAAUUCCUGGUGUAGCGGUGGAAUGCGCAGAUAUCAGGAGGAACACCAAUAGCGAAGGCAGCUCGCUGGGACGGUACUGACGCUAAGGCGCGAAAGCGUGGGGAGCGAACAGG